Molecule: small nuclear RNA, 154 nt
Organism: Bacillus rossius redtenbacheri
Lineage: Eukaryota; Metazoa; Arthropoda; Insecta; Phasmatodea; Bacillidae
Product: U12 minor spliceosomal RNA
Exons: 1
Source: RefSeq, a predicted model, not a curated record
GUGCCUUAAACUAAUGAGUAAGGAAAAUAUAGAGCCUUGGUGACGCUUGGCUCAGCUAGGCAGAUCUAGUAUUUGGAUUUUUGUAUAGGUACAGGUCGUCCUCUGAGUGGGCAGCCUACAUUUGCUGCCUGUUCGAGUGAUAGCGAUCUGCCUG